GCCAUUAUAGCUCUUUGGCAGAGCACUGGUCUUGUAAACCAGGGGUCGUGAGUUUAAACAUCGCUGGUGGCU
Non-coding RNA from Trichonephila clavipes, 72 nucleotides. The record is from the annotation of a GenBank genome assembly. Lineage: Eukaryota; Metazoa; Arthropoda; Arachnida; Araneae; Nephilidae.